CAUUAGGUGGGGCUCUCCAUCGCCAUUAGCAUGCUUUGGUAGGCAAACUAAAAGACUCGCUCCGACCGCGGGAGAAUUCUUGGUGGGGGGAAAAAUGAGUCACGGAGACUUUUGGAAAGCACUCAUGCGUGCUUAUGGACCUCUCAGAUGCACAAUUUUGCUCCUCAUAAAUAAUCAUCCCACCCGCUAAUGAAGGUGCAGCAACCUGCCGCUCGCUUGAACAGAUGUAAAUCUGGGAUGAAGACAUGUUGGCCAACUGCGCAAUGACGUGUGUCGGAAAGCGAGAGGUUCGCAGGAUGAAAAAGGAGAGGAUUGUGGGGAUUAAUGUCGAGGACUCACUUUCAAGUAAUGCAAUCAACCUGGCAACCGGAGCUGAUACAACAGCACCCUCCUCUUCAUCGUGCCCUGGGGUGAAUUUCCAGAGAAACGGUGCCAUUGUUCACCGCCUGGCUUCGUUUGAAGUCUGCUCACGCUUUCACGUUGGGAAAACAUGAAUGAUACGCAUCAAAGGUCCAGGAAAGGGGGGCGGCUGGAACCUGCUUACACAUUUUGCACAACGGACACCAUCUACCUCCACGCCCAAAGGCACAAUGAAACAUUUAGAGGAUUAAAAAAAAAAAAAAUCUUUUUUUGGUUGAAUAAACA
Molecule: long non-coding RNA, 645 nt
Organism: Syngnathus typhle (broad-nosed pipefish)
Lineage: Eukaryota; Metazoa; Chordata; Actinopteri; Syngnathiformes; Syngnathidae
Exons: 2
Source: RefSeq, a predicted model, not a curated record